CCUACGGGAGACAGCAGUGAGGAAUAUUGGUCAAUGGGCGAGAGCCUGAACCAGCCAAGUCGCGUGAGGGAGUACUGCCCUAUGGGUUGUAAACCUCUUUUGUCGGGGAGCAAAAGCCGGACGUGUCCGGCUGUGAGAGUACCCGAAGAAAAAGCAUCGGCUAACUCCGUGCCAGCAGCCGCGGUAAUACGGAGGAUGCGAGCGUUAUCCGGAUUUAUUGGGUUUAAAGGGUGCGCAGGCGGAUUUUUAAGUCAGCGGUAAAAUCGGGGGGCUCAAACCCAUCCAGCCGUUGAAACUGGGGAUCUAGAGUGUGCGAGAGGUAUGCGGAAUGCGUGGUGUAGCGGUGAAAUGCAUAGAUAUCACGCAGAACCCCGAUUGCGAAGGCAGCAUACCGGUGCACAACUGACGCUCAGGCACGAAAGCGUGGGUAUCGAACAGGAUUAGAUACCCUUGUAGUC
Molecule: ribosomal RNA, 458 nt
Filed under: uncultured bacterium
Lineage: Bacteria
Description: partial 16S ribosomal RNA
Rfam family: Bacterial small subunit ribosomal RNA
Source: RNAcentral